ACAAGCGGAGGAGCAUGUGGUUAAUUCGAUGAUACGCGAGGAACCUUACCUGGGCUCGAACGUAAGAUGACUGUAGGUGAAAGCUUACAUCUCUUCGGAGCAUUUUACGAGGUGCUGCAUGGCUGUCGUCAGCUCGUGUCGUGAGAUGUUGGGUUAAGUCCCGCAACGAGCGCAACCCUUGCCUUUAGUUGCCAGCAGUUCGGCUGGGCACUCUAAAGGGACUGCCGGUGUUAAACCGGAGGAAGGUGGGGAUGACGUCAAGUCCUCAUGGCCUUUAUGACCAGGGCUACACACGUACUACAAUGGCCGAUACAAAGGGCAGCGACACUGCGAGGUGAAGCCAAUCCCGUAAAAUCGGUCUCAGUCCGGAUUGGAGUCUGCAACUCGACUCCAUGAAGUUGGAAUCGCUAGUAAUCGUGGAUCAGCAUGCCACGGUGAAUACGUUCCCGGGCCUU
RNAcentral lists this ribosomal RNA (455 nucleotides) under uncultured Desulfobulbus sp. RNAcentral describes it as "bacterial SSU rRNA". It matches the Rfam family "Bacterial small subunit ribosomal RNA", at positions 925 to 1382 of the family's 1533-position model. Lineage: Bacteria; Pseudomonadati; Thermodesulfobacteriota; Desulfobulbia; Desulfobulbales; Desulfobulbaceae. The record is from RNAcentral.